RNAcentral lists this ribosomal RNA (490 nucleotides) under uncultured bacterium. RNAcentral describes it as "partial 16S ribosomal RNA". It matches the Rfam family "Bacterial small subunit ribosomal RNA", at positions 28 to 507 of the family's 1533-position model. The record is from RNAcentral.
GAUGAACGCUAGCUACAGGCUUAACACAUGCAAGUCGCGGGGCAGCAUGGGGGUUGCUUGCAAUCCCCGAUGGCGACCGGCGCACGGGUGAGUAACGCGUAUCCAACCUGCCCUUCACCACGGGAUAACCCGGCGAAAGUCGGACUAAUACCGUAUGUUGUCCAUUGACGGCAUCCGAUUUGGACGAAAGGGUUGGCGGGGAAGGAUGGGGAUGCGUCCGAUUAGCUGGACGGCGGGGUGACGGCCCACCGUGGCGACGAUCGGUAGGGGUUCUGAGAGGAAGGUCCCCCACACUGGAACUGAGACACGGUCCAGACUCCUACGGGAGGCAGCAGUGAGGAAUAUUGGUCAAUGGGCGUAAGCCUGAACCAGCCAAGUAGCGUGCAGGAUGACGGCCCUAUGGGUUGUAAACUGCUUUUAUGCGGGGAUAAAGUGGCCCACGUGUGGGUUUUUGCAGGUACCGCAUGAAUAAGGACCGGCUAAUUCCGUG